RNAcentral lists this ribosomal RNA (450 nucleotides) under uncultured Eubacteriales bacterium. Its description in RNAcentral is "bacterial SSU rRNA". It matches the Rfam family "Bacterial small subunit ribosomal RNA", at positions 917 to 1370 of the family's 1533-position model. The record is from RNAcentral. Lineage: Bacteria; Bacillati; Bacillota; Clostridia; Eubacteriales.
GGGCCCGCACAAGCAGUGGAUUAUGUGGUUUAAUUCGAAGCAACGCGAAGAACCUUACCAGGGCUUGACAUCCAACUAACGAAGCAGAGAUGCAUUAGGUGCCCUUCGGGGAAAGUUGAGACAGGUGGUGCAUGGUUGUCGUCAGCUCGUGUCGUGAGAUGUUGGGUUAAGUCCCGCAACGAGCGCAACCCUUAUUGUUAGUUGCUACGCAAGAGCACUCUAGCGAGACUGCCGUUGACAAAACGGAGGAAGGUGGGGACGACGUCAAAUCAUCAUGCCCCUUAUGUCCUGGGCUACACACGUAAUACAAUGGCGUUUAACAGAGGGAAGCAAAGCCGCGAGGUGGAGCAAAUCCCUAAAAGGCGUCUCAGUUCGGAUUGCAGGCUGCAACUCGCCUGCAUGAAGUCGGAAUUGCUAGUAAUCGCGGAUCAGCAUGCCGCGGUGAAUACG